UCAUACUUGUACGAUGAAACCCACGGGUUGGC
Molecule: small RNA, 32 nt
Filed under: Bombyx mori (domestic silkworm)
Lineage: Eukaryota; Metazoa; Arthropoda; Insecta; Lepidoptera; Bombycidae
Description: ovarian small RNA-25916
Source: RNAcentral